GACGAACGCUGGCGGCGUGGCUAACACAUGCAAGUCGAACGGGGCUCUUUGGAUCGAGACUUCGGUCAAGUGAAUCUGAGCUUAGUGGCGGACGGGUGAGUAACGCGUGAGCAACCUGCCUUUCAGAGGGGGACAACAGUUGGAAACGACUGCUAAUACCGCAUAACGUGUCGAGGAGGCAUCUCCUUGACACCAAAGAUUUAUCGCUGAAAGAUGGGCUCGCGUCUGAUUAGCUAGUUGGUAAGGUAACGGCUUACCAAGGCAAUGAUGCAUAGCCGAGUUGAGAGACUGAUCGGCCACAUUGGGACUGGAGACACGGCCCAA
This 324-nucleotide ribosomal RNA is filed under the name uncultured bacterium. RNAcentral describes it as "bacterial SSU rRNA". It matches the Rfam family "Bacterial small subunit ribosomal RNA", at positions 28 to 334 of the family's 1533-position model. The record is from RNAcentral.